AUUUACCACUGUGUUAUAACCUAGCUGUAGGAUAUCUAUGCGAAUCCCGGCCCUGUAUCAAGAAAAUCGCAGAAAGUACGUCCCUGACGUAAAGCUGCUGGUAAUAUCAAUGAAAAGGAAGAAGAAAAAAAAAAGAGAGAAAACACGCCGGCGCAACGAAAAACAAGGAAACGCUAACCCGAACUGCGGCAAUUUGUUCGGGUAAUGGCGUCCCAUCCCACGGAGCCCAAGAGUACGAGUACGAAAAGAUACGCGAAGGGAAGGAGAGAGCGGAAGCAUCAAUAAACGCCCGUUCCAUUAUCCAACUCAACCGAGUAACGUCGAUCCCUUUCCCAAACGGUCCCGGAAUCGUUUCACGAUACCCCAAGAUAUUGUCGGUAUACGAAAAGCACAGGACAACAACGCCCUCCCUUGAGUUUGCGGCACGAAGGUGAAGCACGGAUCCAGUCGUAGCGCGUAUGUAUGCUACGGAAAAAUGACGUGGCAAGAGAAGUUGUAAUGUUCCCUCCGUCACGUAACGGAGAGGCAGACACUCGAGUUGUCUAACCGAGAAGAUGAGUAAGGAGGUAAACGAGACUGGAACGAAGAGGAGUAAACGACGGGAAAUACGUGAUCUGCGAGCGGCUUACGUUACGACUUGCCGCCACGGGAGCUACUGGAAGAAGUAGAAGAGCGCCGAGCAGCAAUACCGUCCUCGAGACACGGCUCAGGUAGCAGCAGAUAAGGUUAGGGUCUUUAGCUCGCUCGGCAUUGCCGAGCGUUCCGCGUACCUCAAUGGGGUCCUCCAAGGCCCUGUAAAGUCCUCGGUCAAGGUCGGCGUCAAGGUCGCGCGAAUAAACAAAUUUAGCACGGCCGACAGCGUCGACCACGUAAGCAGCCACGAGAAGCAUCGCUUCUUGUCUGGUCUUUCCCCCCUCCAAUUCCUUCUCUCUGUUUCUCCCAUUCCGCGUCGGACGUUUCAUCUCUAUCUCUCAUUGCACAUUCGUUAUUAGUCUCGCUCCCUCUUACUUUUGCACUCUCUCUCUCUCUCUCUCUCUCUCUCUCUCUCUCUCUCUCUCUCUCCUACCUCGAUCGUGUUCUUUUCCGCCAGCAUCGCUACUCGAGUCUUCUUACGUAAUCGAGAGCGCAGAGGUUGGUUCUCGUCGGAGCGCUACAAAUAAUAGGGAGUGAACGUUACGUUGUCUCUGUAGUAAUGACUGAGUCAAUUAAUAAACAGGAGCGAGAGAGAAGCUGAUUACUUAGUUAAAAUCACGAUUAUCAUCGAACUCCUACGUCAUGGCUUAUCGAUGCUUAGAGCUGCUUAAUAAAUGUAUAUCUGGCGUGCACGUCCUUUUUCAAACUGAAAAUAUCGUUAUGAAAUGAUAAGAGUGUUAUCGCGACGCUGCAUGAAGUCGUACCGGGGGGAUACGGCGGCCACGCAGCCUGACGGUUCGACACGUUAUUCGAUGACGGUUGUAUAAUUUCCGCGAGAUUGUUUUACUCGACAGAAGAAACUGGAAGAGCAGCUGGGAAAGUUUUAAUGCGCAGAGACGUCGCGUGGAUGCAGCACCGUGAAGGGUAGACGAAAAAUGGCAUAGGACUAUGCAAGACAGGAUAGAAGUGCAUAAGGUAGAGCUAGGAGCGGACUAGGAAGAGGAACAGUUGGAUAGAAUCGAGUUUUGGUGGCUGGCAUGCAGGGAGGCGUUUAUAUACGUCGUAAGACGCCUUGGUGUGUAAUGGCACGAGGCACGGCGGCCGCUUCGAGUAGGAAAGUUCAUCAUUCAUGCAACGUUUAGAUGUACACUGAUUUCCCAGGAGUAUACCCGUAUCCCAUACAUUGCGUAUUCCGUAUCCUCGUGUCCCGCAUUCGCCUUGGCUAUUCCUCAACGUAGGAUAUAAGGGUGAGUCAAUAUGCCUCGGAAAGACGUAACGCCACUUCCGCUCGUUAUUUAUUUUAGCUUUACUGUCCUAGUAUCACGCGUACCAACACCAGAAAUCGGCCACCACCGGUCACGAGGCUUCUCUCGUUUCUCUCGGGAGAAUCGACGCCAGCGCCUCUCACGUCAAAUCCAACCAACAACGCCCCGAGUAGAAAAUCA
Cephus cinctus (wheat stem sawfly) is the source of this 2078-nucleotide long non-coding RNA. RefSeq lists it as uncharacterized. The transcript is spliced from 3 exons. The record is from RefSeq and is a predicted model, not a curated record. Lineage: Eukaryota; Metazoa; Arthropoda; Insecta; Hymenoptera; Cephidae.